GUGCGAGAGCACAUCCAUUAUCCGGCUUGCAGGCCAGGAUAGAAGCGCUUCAAAAUUAGGUAAUAGCUGGGUCUCGGCUCUCGUCCCGAAAAGCUGCCACCAGUCUUGAUAUAAUGACGUCGUCGUGCUGCUGCUCUCUGCCUUCGUCCAUCAACGCGCCAAUAUGGUGCGCGUAUACGGACAAUGAUCGGUAAUGGUUGAGG
Non-coding RNA from Caenorhabditis elegans, 203 nucleotides. NCBI's taxonomy places the organism in Eukaryota, Metazoa, Nematoda, Chromadorea, Rhabditida, Rhabditidae. The record is from Ensembl.